CCUACGGGAGGCAGCAGUGAGGAAUAUUGGUCAAUGGACGAGAGUCUGAACCAGCCAAGUAGCGUGAAGGAUGACUGCCCUAUGGGUUGUAAACUUCUUUUAUAUGGGAAUAAAACAGGGUAUGCAUACCCUCUUGUAUGUACCAUAUGAAUAAGGAUCGGCUAACUCCGUGCCAGCAGCAGAGGUAAUCCGGAGGAUCCGAGCGUUAUCCGGAUUUAUUGGGUCUAAAGGGAGCGUAGGUGGAUUGUUAAGUCAGUUGUGAAAGUUUGCGGCUCAACCGUAAAAUUGCAGUUGAAACUGGCAGUCGUGAGUACAGUAGAGGUGGGCGGAAUUCGUGGUGUAGCGGUGAAAUGCUUAGAUAUCACGAAGAACUCCGAUUGCGAAGGCAGCUCACUGGACUGCAACUGACACUGAUGCUCGAAAGUGUGGGUAUCAAACAGGAUUAGAUACCCCAGAAGUC
This 460-nucleotide ribosomal RNA is filed under the name uncultured bacterium. RNAcentral describes it as "partial 16S ribosomal RNA". It matches the Rfam family "Bacterial small subunit ribosomal RNA", at positions 338 to 795 of the family's 1533-position model. The record is from RNAcentral.